CCAGAGAUGGUUGCCUUCCUAU
Molecule: microRNA, 22 nt
Filed under: Homo sapiens (human)
Lineage: Eukaryota; Metazoa; Chordata; Mammalia; Primates; Hominidae
Description: hsa-miR-4756-3p
Source: miRBase by way of RNAcentral